AGAGCGAACGCUGGCGGCAGGCCUAACACAUGCAAGUCGAACGAACCCUUCGGGGUUAGUGGCGGACGGGUGAGUAACACGUGGGAACGUGCCUUUUGGUUCGGAAUAGCUCCUGGAAACGGGUGGUAAUGCCGAAUGUGCCCUUCGGGGGAAAGAUUUAUCGCCAUUAGAGCGGCCCGCGUCUGAUUAGCUAGUUGGUGAGGUAAAGGCUCACCAAGGCUACGAUCAGUAGCUGGUCUGAGAGGAUGACCAGCCACAUUGGGACUGAGACACGGCCCAAACUCCUACGGGAGGCAGCAGUGGGGAAUCUUGCGCAAUGGGCGAAAGCCUGACGCAGCCAUGCCGCGUGAAUGAUGAAGGUCUUAGGAUUAGGUAAAAUUCUUUACACCGGGGACGAAUAAUGACGGUACCCGGAGAAGAAGCCCCGGACUAACUUCGCGCCAGCAGCCGC
This 451-nucleotide ribosomal RNA is filed under the name uncultured soil bacterium. RNAcentral describes it as "bacterial SSU rRNA". It matches the Rfam family "Bacterial small subunit ribosomal RNA", at positions 26 to 518 of the family's 1533-position model. The record is from RNAcentral.